AAAUAAAAAAAAAAAAAAAAACUUUUAAGGGAAAAAUUCGGUUUUGACAUGAAACUGGAUCAGCUAUUUUCGGUCCAGUUCGAGUCUUGUUUCGGUCAAAACCUAUUUGACCAGUUUUGGUUCCGGGUUGGACCGGUCUGAUCCAAACUGGACUGUGACCGCCUCUACCAUUAUCCCCCAACCACUUUAUACAGUAUUGUCAUCCUGAAAUAGAUAUUCUCUUUCUAUUUGCAUUUAUGCAUUAUACCCUUUAUUUGGAAGUCACUUGGGAGAUUUUUGUAUUGGGACUUGGAGUUUAGGGAAGAAAGUUGUUAAGAGCAAUCAAUGUUUUAUACUUUUUUUUUCCCUCAAUACAAUUUACUUAGUUUAUGCAGAGAGUGAUGCGAUGUAGCAAAGGGAUCAUAACCUGAGGAAGAGAAGUAGGUGAUUGUUGGAGGUGCAGGUGAGAUUGGGUGGACAGGGGGUCUAUAGUUGGCAAAAAGAAACUCUAACAUCUAUCUCUCCAACAUUAGAGACCCUCAUUUACCAAUCCAAUUAGCUUUGCUAAAAUUCCUAGAUAGCUUCACAUAAAUAAGUAAUUCCAUGUCACUUGGCCAUGUCAGCAUUGACACAUGGUAGGACAAUAACAACAUCAACAAUUAAGCCUCAAUCCCAUAUUAGUUAGGGUAAGUUAUAUGGAUCUUUUUUGCCAUUUAACUUUGUUUGAGACCAUAUUCAAAGAUUGUAAAUCCUUUGAAACUACUUCCCUCUAUAUUUUAGGUCUCCCCUUUUUUCUUCUCACUCCUUUCACCACUAAUUUAUCGCAUUACCGUACAUGUUCAUUUGAUUCUCUAUGUUGGACAUGGCCAGACUAUCUUAAUUGACACUCAUUGACACAUCGUAGAAGAGGGGGAAAAAAACUAGUGGCUAGAAUGGCUACAGUUAACUAAAUCUGUAGUUGCAAUUAAUAAAAUUUAAAGGCCACGUGUAUAGUUCAGGACCUUUUGUCAAUAUGCCUGUCUAUAUCCUCUCUUCUUCCCAUUGAGAAUCAGAAUUAGCCUAACUGAUUGUGUACAUAGAUAUAGUUGGAUAUCUAGAGUAUAUGGAUUUUACAAAAUUUGAGUCAUAAGUGGCAAAUGUGAUUUAGUUUAGUUAUAUCCCUAAUAUAUUAACUAUCAAGCAACUGACAUUGCCCCAUAAUUGCGGUGGAGUGAAACUGUGGGGAAGAAAUAAUUGUUUCGGGCAAUAAAUCUUCUAUCAUUACUCUAAUCUGAUCACAAACUUUUUAUGGAUAUCUAACACUUGCACAGCUUAUAAUCUGUCUGUCUAUGUACGCUAGAAGUCUAUAUAUUCAGUUACUCCACUAAGAGUUUCAGCAUUGAUUACUGUGAUUUGUCAAAUGAACUCUCAGAUAUUAAGAUCUUAAAAAUAGUAAUCUGUAAAAGCUUUUUGGUGCAAAAAUAAAUACUGUAGCUCUCAUAAUUGCAACAAGUGCAGUUAAAUAGGUUCAACAGUUCAAGUCCUCAAGAGUUUCAUUAUGUCUUAAAUGGAAGAUCACGAGCAGAUUCAGAUCGCCCAUUCUAGUGACAGUAGAAGAUUUUUACAUGUUCUUGUUGGAGGGUCUGUCUAGGUGGUUGGGUUCUGAAAAACAUCUCUUGUGAUGGGUUAAGUAAUAUCGCGUGUUGUGGUGCUUUGGAAGAUAUUGUCAAUGAAAUCCUAUUUGGAAGUGAAAUGCAAAUGGGAACUGUUACAAGUACUUCUACAUUUCCAAAGAAUGAGAGGAUUUCCUGUUGUUACAGUUUUAAAAAGUUCAAUUUGCCUGUCUAUAAACAUUGUACAAUACUUGCACUGUCUUGUUAUGCUUUCUACGAUGUAUAUUGAUAUGGUUCACAAAAAAUGAUGUUUAAUCUAAAAAUAUUUUGUGGUUUUUUUUUUUUAUGCAAGCUAAAAUUGUUUCCCUUGCUCCAUCGCAGCUUCAUCCAG
This 1962-nucleotide unclassified non-coding RNA is filed under the name Hevea brasiliensis (rubber tree). The record is from RNAcentral. Lineage: Eukaryota; Viridiplantae; Streptophyta; Magnoliopsida; Malpighiales; Euphorbiaceae.